ACCUCGAUGUCGGCUCAUCACAUCCUGGGGCUGAAGUAGGUCCCAAGGGUAUGGCUGUUCGCCAUUUAAAGUGGUACGCGAGCUGGGUUUAGAACGUCGUGAGACAGUUCGGUCCCUAUCUGCCGUGGGUGCUGGAGAACUGAGGGGGGCUGCUCCUAGUACGAGAGGACCGGAGUGGACGCAUCACUGGUGUUCGGGUUGUCAUGCCAAUGGCACUGCCCGGUAGCUAAAUGCGGAAGAGAUAAGUGCUGAAAGCAUCUAAGCACGAAACUUGCCCCGAGAUGAGUUCUCCCUGAGACUUAGAGUCUCCUGAAGGAACGUUGAAGACGACGACGUUGAUAGGCCGGGUGUGUAAGCGCAGCGAUGCGUUGAGCUAACCGGUACUAAUGAACCGUGAGGCUUAACCUUACAACGCCGAAG
RNAcentral lists this ribosomal RNA (420 nucleotides) under Salmonella enterica. RNAcentral's name for it is "partial 23S ribosomal RNA". It matches the Rfam family "Bacterial large subunit ribosomal RNA", at positions 2523 to 2925 of the family's 2925-position model. The record is from RNAcentral. Lineage: Bacteria; Pseudomonadati; Pseudomonadota; Gammaproteobacteria; Enterobacterales; Enterobacteriaceae.